This 117-nucleotide non-coding RNA is filed under the name Nomascus leucogenys (northern white-cheeked gibbon). Lineage: Eukaryota; Metazoa; Chordata; Mammalia; Primates; Hylobatidae. The record is from Rfam by way of RNAcentral.
GCCGGGCAUGGUGGCUCAUGCCUGUAAUCCCAGCACUUUGGGAGGCUGAGGCAGGAGGAUUACUUGAGGUCAGGAGUUCGAAACCACCCUGGCCAACAAGGUGAAACCCUGUCUCUA